This 253-nucleotide ribosomal RNA is filed under the name uncultured bacterium. RNAcentral's name for it is "partial 16S ribosomal RNA". It matches the Rfam family "Bacterial small subunit ribosomal RNA", at positions 524 to 776 of the family's 1533-position model. The record is from RNAcentral.
UACGUAGGGUGCAAGCGUUGUCCGGAUUUAUUGGGCGUAAAGAGCUCGUAGGCGGUUAGUCACGUCGGAUGUGAAAUCCCAGAGCUUAACUCUGGGCCUGCAUUCGAUACGGGCUGACUAGAGUGUUGUAGGGGAGACUGGAACUCCUGGUGUAGCGGUGAAAUGCGCAGAUAUCAGGAAGAACACCGGUGGCGAAGGCGGGUCUCUGGGCAACUACUGACGCUGAGGAGCGAAAGCGUGGGGAGCAAACAGG